This 97-nucleotide transfer RNA is filed under the name Candidatus Zixiibacteriota bacterium. RNAcentral's name for it is "tRNA-Sec". It matches the Rfam family "Selenocysteine transfer RNA". Lineage: Bacteria; Pseudomonadati; Candidatus Zixiibacteriota. The record is from RNAcentral.
GGAAGCGGAUGCUGUCUGGUGGCGGUCCCGGCCUUCAAAGCCGUGUGGGGGGCAGUCGUACUGUCCCCGGUGGGUUCGAUUCCCACCCCUUCCGCCA